CACGGUACGCAGGGGGACUCGCAUACGAGUUGAGAGGGCCAUCGCAUGGCCCGACCCUUUGAACCUGUUGGUUAACACCAUCGUAGGGAGGCGACGACCAUGGCAU
This 106-nucleotide non-coding RNA is filed under the name Bifidobacterium pseudolongum. Its description in RNAcentral is "TPP sequence". It matches the Rfam family "TPP riboswitch aptamer (THI element)". From Rfam's summary of the family: Vitamin B(1) in its active form thiamin pyrophosphate (TPP) is an essential coenzyme that is synthesised by coupling of pyrimidine and thiazole moieties in bacteria. The record is from RNAcentral. RNAcentral also lists the same sequence under 1 other name. Lineage: Bacteria; Bacillati; Actinomycetota; Actinomycetes; Bifidobacteriales; Bifidobacteriaceae.